UUAAAUUGAAGAGUUUGAUCAUGGCUCAGAUUGAACGCUGGCGGCAGGCCUAACACAUGCAAGUCGAACGGUAACAGGAAACAGCUUGCUGUUUCGCUGACGAGUGGCGGACGGGUGAGUAAUGUCUGGGAAACUGCCUGAUGGAGGGGGAUAACUACUGGAAACGGUAGCUAAUACCGCAUAACGUCGCAAGACCAAAGAGGGGGACCUUCGGGCCUCUUGCCAUCAGAUGUGCCCAGAUGGGAUUAGCUAGUAGGUGGGGUAACGGCUCACCUAGGCGACGAUCCCUAGCUGGUCUGAGAGGAUGACCAGCCACACUGGAACUGAGACACGGUCCAGACUCCUACGGGAGGCAGCAGUGGGGAAUAUUGCACAAUGGGCGCAAGCCUGAUGCAGCCAUGCCGCGUGUAUGAAGAAGGCCUUCGGGUUGUAAAGUACUUUCAGCGGGGAGGAAGGGAGUAAAGUUAAUACCUUUGCUCAUUGACGUUACCCGCAGAAGAAGCACCGGCUAACUCCGUGCCAGCAGCCGCGGUAAUACGGAGGGUGCAAGCGUUAAUCGGAAUUACUGGGCGUAAAGCGCACGCAGGCGGUUUGUUAAGUCAGAUGUGAAAUCCCCGGGCUCAACCUGGGAACUGCAUCUGAUACUGGCAAGCUUGAGUCUCGUAGAGGGGGGUAGAAUUCCAGGUGUAGCGGUGAAAUGCGUAGAGAUCUGGAGGAAUACCGGUGGCGAAGGCGGCCCCCUGGACGAAGACUGACGCUCAGGUGCGAAAGCGUGGGGAGCAAACAGGAUUAGAUACCCUGGUAGUCCACGCCGUAAACGAUGUCGACUUGGAGGUUGUGCCCUUGAGGCGUGGCUUCCGGAGCUAACGCGUUAAGUCGACCGCCUGGGGAGUACGGCCGCAAGGUUAAAACUCAAAUGAAUUGACGGGGGCCCGCACAAGCGGUGGAGCAUGUGGUUUAAUUCGAUGCAACGCGAAGAACCUUACCUGGUCUUGACAUCCACGGAAGUUUUCAGAGAUGAGAAUGUGCCUUCGGGAACCGUGAGACAGGUGCUGCAUGGCUGUCGUCAGCUCGUGUUGUGAAAUGUUGGGUUAAGUCCCGCAACGAGCGCAACCCUUAUCCUUUGUUGCCAGCGGUCCGGCCGGGAACUCAAAGGAGACUGCCAGUGAUAAACUGGAGGAAGGUGGGGAUGACGUCAAGUCAUCAUGGCCCUUACGACCAGGGCUACACACGUGCUACAAUGGCGCAUACAAAGAGAAGCGACCUCGCGAGAGCAAGCGGACCUCAUAAAGUGCGUCGUAGUCCGGAUUGGAGUCUGCAACUCGACUCCAUGAAGUCGGAAUCGCUAGUAAUCGUGGAUCAGAAUGCCACGGUGAAUACGUUCCCGGGCCUUGUACACACCGCCCGUCACACCAUGGGAGUGGGUUGCAAAAGAAGUAGGUAGCUUAACCUUCGGGAGGGCGCUUACCACUUUGUGAUUCAUGACUGGGGUGAAGUCGUAACAAGGUAACCGUAGGGGAACCUGCGGUUGGAUCACCUCCUUA
RNAcentral lists this ribosomal RNA (1544 nucleotides) under Escherichia coli str. K-12 substr. DH10B. RNAcentral describes it as "16S ribosomal RNA". It matches the Rfam family "Bacterial small subunit ribosomal RNA". The record is from RNAcentral. Lineage: Bacteria; Pseudomonadati; Pseudomonadota; Gammaproteobacteria; Enterobacterales; Enterobacteriaceae.